This 1465-nucleotide long non-coding RNA is filed under the name Marmota monax (woodchuck). The record is from RNAcentral. Lineage: Eukaryota; Metazoa; Chordata; Mammalia; Rodentia; Sciuridae.
CUGCCAUAUUGUGAGGAAGCCAAAGCUACAUGGAAAGGCCACAUACUGAUAUUCUGGUCACAAGGCCCACCCAACAGCCAGUACAAACCACCAGAUGCAUAUGAGAUGCAUCAGAUGAUUCAAAUGAUUCCAGCCCCUAGAGGCUUGGAACCUUCUUCCAACUUCUGCCUUGGAACCUUCCAGCGGAGGCCCAAGCAUCAUGGAACAGAGGUAAAGCAACUCCAACGUGCCCUAUUGGAAUUUCUAAACUCUCAGCAACCCAAUACAGGAAGUUCAAGUUCCCCUUCACAAUACAGGAAGUUCAAGUCCCCCUUCUUCUCACAGUUGGCCACAGAGUGUAAAACAUAAGUGGUUGUUCAUACCAUUAAGUUUGAGGUAAUUUUUAACUUAACCAGAAUAGCCAACCAUAGCCUUUAUUGGCAGGUUCAGCUCUUGGGGGCUACCAUGUAAGAGGGUCACAGACCAACUAAAGAAAUUCCCAAGCAUUGUGAUCAGGGUGGAGGGGCCUGAAACUCUGGUCUAGAUGGUGAAAGCUGGAGAUGGGUAUGGAGUGUGGACUCAGUCAUGACUUUUCUACCCCUGAGGGUGGAGUGGGAUUGCCCUGGGGUGGCAAUAUGCCUCAGAGGGAAAGGACAGGCUUCAGCAUUAGGUGGUCCUGGGUUCCAUCUUUCCUAUCUCCUUUCUCACUAUCUCAUAGUUUGAAUGAAUCAGGCCAUCUCUGUGGGCCUCCCAAGGGGAUAACAAUAUCCUUCUUGCAGGAUGCUUGUGCAGAUUAAAUAAGAAUAUAGGUGGCUUGCUUGACACAAAGACUCUUAAUAGAUAUGCUCAUAAAAGGUCCUUUGGCUACCAGUUCAAACUUGCAAUAAAGAGGAAGUGUUGGUGAGAAAGGUGAUACAGGACACAUCUUCUGAGGUAAAGAUGGGAAGAAGAACUGGCAUGUGACUUACCUUAUCUCAAGGUUUGAAUGUGUAGAAAAGAGGCUUCAGGAGGUGACAGCAGAUGGGAGUUUCAGCUUUAUUAACAGCAACAAUUGUCCAAUGACUGCCAAAAGUAGGGCUGCACUGGAGCCUGGACUUUUCUCUAAGAGGAGAUCUUGAUUGAUUGAUUGUAUCAAGUUUGAACACAGGGGUGCUUUAACCACUCAGCCACAUCCCCAGCCCUCUUUUAUUUUUUAUUUUUACUUUGAGAUAGUCUCUCUAUGAGUUGCUCAGGCUGGUCUCGAAUUUCAAUCUUCCUACCUGAGCCUCCCGAGUCACUGGGAUUACAGGCAUGCACCACUGAGCCCAGCUAAGAGAUCUUUAAUUAAUGAUUCAUGUUAAUGGUUAUGGGAUUAUUCAGACUUUCUAUUCCUUUGUCAGUUUUGGUCACUUGUGUUUUUCUAGGACUUCUGCAUUUUGUGUAUUUUGUAUAUUCAAAUGAAUUGAUAUAAAGCCAUCCAAAUGUCUUUUUUUUUUUAAUUUUUUAU